RNAcentral lists this ribosomal RNA (110 nucleotides) under Anthelia glauca. RNAcentral describes it as "partial 16S large subunit ribosomal RNA". Lineage: Eukaryota; Metazoa; Cnidaria; Anthozoa; Malacalcyonacea; Xeniidae. RNAcentral also lists the same sequence under 3 other names. The record is from RNAcentral.
UAGUACGCAAGGAAUGGUCUCAGCGAUGCUCGACUAUAUCGGCCCCAUCGACGUAAUCAACUUCUGGCUGCUGCAAAGAAGGAAAACAAAAGGUUUAGGGAUUAACAAGG